Molecule: transfer RNA, 98 nt
Filed under: Spirilliplanes yamanashiensis
Lineage: Bacteria; Bacillati; Actinomycetota; Actinomycetes; Micromonosporales; Micromonosporaceae
Description: tRNA-Arg
Source: RNAcentral
AGCGGCGGUGGCGCGGCUGGGCCGCCGCCACCGGCGUCGCGGCCGCCGUGGUGGCGGGCGCCGUCGCCGUCGCCGUGCUCGGCGGCCCGGCCCCGUCG